UCGGCGUCGGGCCUCGCCGACCAGUUGGUGUCGUGCGAGUCUGCCAUCGAGCCAAUGGCAGAGCAACGCGGCCCCUCCUGCUUUACUGCAGAUUUCCGAGGCUUGCAGCCCCGCAGCACCGCGAGUCUCUAAGCUGAAUUUUUUUUUGUAUAAAUGGACGCACAAGGUGGAGUACCUGCUCAACAAGGAGAAGAGAACAUGCAUAUCUGUCCCACUGCCUGCCUCAGAAGUUGCGGCCAAAUGGCUACAUGACUGGAGGGGAGAGGAGGCAAGAUGAUUAAACGGAUCAAAGCGGACACUCGGCAUAAUCUGACUGCAGUUUUAGAUCCAAUUUCCAUGAUGCAGAAUGCCAAGUAUAUCAUGGGAAGACUGGAAUGAUUUGAACAGGACCACAGUAAUGCCAUCCAACUGUAAAUCUGAUCACUGGACAACUAACUCUUCUACCUUCAUUUCAGAAAUGCAUUUUCCCUUGAUAACAGAAUCUAUAUAGCUUCUUUU
Molecule: long non-coding RNA, 498 nt
Organism: Cololabis saira (Pacific saury)
Lineage: Eukaryota; Metazoa; Chordata; Actinopteri; Beloniformes; Belonidae
Exons: 3
Source: RefSeq, a predicted model, not a curated record